This 1419-nucleotide long non-coding RNA is filed under the name Notechis scutatus (mainland tiger snake). RNAcentral describes it as "lncRNA (ENSNSUG00000005826.1)". Lineage: Eukaryota; Metazoa; Chordata; Lepidosauria; Squamata; Elapidae. The record is from RNAcentral.
AGUUAUUAUGCAAUGUAACUGCAAUUGAUGACUAUGAAAUGGAUGCACAAAAAAUUUGUAAACCAACCGGCACACUGCUUGUAUAUUCAUGGAAGAAAGGUUGAUGUUUUUAUGUUUUGUUUGUUUAUGUUUGUUUUUUAAAAAUCAAUAAAAAAUUUACACACACACACACAAAAGAGUUAUGUACCAACAGCUUCUGUGAAUAUUAUUACACUGAUGUCUAAAUUAACCAGCUGCAUAUUCCAGAUUUAAGGUUACUUUUCUACGCUGAUUUAUAACAUUACCUCUGGCCCAGGGCUUAAAGAAGACAAGUACCAUGUUGGAUGAAGAAUUUCCCCGUACUGCACUCAGCAUCAACAACAGAAAUGAGCUCCGGAAUGUUCUGAAUCUCCAGUCUUUAUACAAACAAAACAAGGCCAAAGAGACUCCUUUAAAAACCAUCCUGGAAAUCAUGGCGAGCUACUUUCUGGAGCUCCAGAGUAACCAAACCUUCCUGGGAAAUUCCUCAUUUCUGGAAAAGAAAGCCUGUCCCACAAGAAGUUCGGAGAGCUUUCCUCCUAAGAAUUCCCUCUCUGGAGAAGCCGCUCGAAGGCAAACAGCAGCUGAGAAAACUAAAAAAGGGACUCCCAGGUAUAACUUUUAGCAUUUGACCCUAAAUCUUUAGAUGGCAGUCAUUGCUGCAUACAGGAAGUCCUUGACUUACGACUGCAAGUGAGCCCGAAAUUACUGUGGUAAGUCACGGUGAUCCUUAAGUAGUCACCAUAUGAUUAUGGUCUAUUUUAUGACCUUUUUGACAGUGGUCAUUAAGCAAACACUGCUGUCGUAAAGCAAAUACGCUGUCUGCAAUGGCUGGUUUUUUUGCUGGAAACUGGAAGUACAGUUGGUCCUCGGCUUACAACCACAAUUAAACCCAAAAUGUAUUUUUGCUAAGUGAGAUGGUUGUCAAACUGAGUUUUGCCCCAUUUUUUGUUCCUCCUUUCAUAGUUGUUAAAUGAAGCACUGUUGUGGUUAAGUUAGUUGUUAAGUGAAUCUAGCUUCCCCAUUGACUUUGCUUGUCAGAAGGUCGCAAAAGAGGAUCACGUGACCUUGGGACACUGCAACCGUCAUAAGUACAUGCCAGUUGCCAAACAUCUGAAUUUUGAUCACAUAACCAUGGGAAUAACACAAUAGAAUAGAAUAGAAUAGAAUAGAAUAGAAUAGAAUAGAGAAUGGAAUGGAAUGGAAUGGAAUGGAAUGGAAUGGAAUAGAAUAGAAUAGAAUAGAAUAGAAUAGAAUAGAAUAGAAUAGAAUAGAAUAGAAUAGAAUAGAAUAGAAUAGAAUAGAAUUCUUUAUUGGCCAAGUGUGAUUGGACACACAAGGAAAUUUGUCUUGAUGCAUAAGCUCCAUAAAGAAAAAAUAAAAUACAUUCAUCAAUAAUCA